CCUGUUUGGCAGGGCCUGGUUGUGUUGCUUAGUGAGCUGAUGGGGUUAAUGGCCGUACAGGUGUAGUCCUCUUCUGCACGGGUGGGGGAUACAGUCAGGGUAGCUCUGUUCUCCGCUCCAGCAAUGUUCUCUCCAUUUCUGCUCCAGGACAGCGCCACCUGGCUGCCUCCAAUCACACUGCAACUCAGGGUCACGUUACAGCUGCUGCCGUCUGUGCUGUUAUUCACCUGGGAGGUUACCUGCACUGAAACAAUCCUCUC
Molecule: long non-coding RNA, 260 nt
Organism: Anguilla anguilla (European eel)
Lineage: Eukaryota; Metazoa; Chordata; Actinopteri; Anguilliformes; Anguillidae
Exons: 2
Source: RefSeq, a predicted model, not a curated record